RNAcentral lists this ribosomal RNA (372 nucleotides) under uncultured organism. Its description in RNAcentral is "partial 16S ribosomal RNA". It matches the Rfam family "Bacterial small subunit ribosomal RNA", at positions 527 to 896 of the family's 1533-position model. The record is from RNAcentral.
GUAGGUGGCGAGCGUUGUCCGGAAUUAUUGGGCGUAAAGCGCGCGCAGGCGGUCCUUUAAGUCUGAUGUGAAAGCCCACGGCUCAACCGUGGAGGGUCAUUGGAAACUGGGGGACUUGAGUACAGAAGAGGAAAGCGGAAUUCCACGUGUAGCGGUGAAAUGCGUAGAGAUGUGGAGGAACACCAGUGGCGAAGGCGGCUUUCUGGUCUGUAACUGACGCUGAGGCGCGAAAGCGUGGGGAGCAAACAGGGAUUAGAUACCCUGGUAGUCCACGCCGUAAACGAUGAGUGCUAAGUGUUAGGGGGUUUCCGCCCCCUUAGUGCUGCAGCUAACGCAUUAAGCACUCCGCCUGGGGAUACGGCCGCAAGGCUG